This is a long non-coding RNA of Scylla paramamosain (green mud crab), 1594 nucleotides long. RefSeq lists it as uncharacterized. The record is from RefSeq and is a predicted model, not a curated record. The transcript is spliced from 7 exons. NCBI's taxonomy places the organism in Eukaryota, Metazoa, Arthropoda, Malacostraca, Decapoda, Portunidae.
AUCGGCUGUGUUUGUGUGGGGCGCGCGUGUGUCAGGUUUUUUGUGCAUUGGAACUCUUAUUUGUGGUUAUUCGUGAAACAAAAAUACUGAAGAUCUGAAUUAAGUCUGUUCCCAGCAGCUCAGCAAGGAUGUUCAGCUUUGCAGGGACCAGAUCCCAGCACCCACGUAUUACCUCCACACUUGCAUAACUGCGUCACCUGAGGAGCGUCGGAUGACCGUGUCACUUGAACCUGUAAUGAGAUGGUGUCACACGAACUCCAUUGAAUAAUUGACGAGCAACGGAUGCUCUGUUUCCAGCGAACCAGCACCUGAGAGAUAGUUGGUGUACGAGUGUACAAGUAGCAGAGAGUUGACGACCUCCGUGCUGCCUAAACAGCGGGAACAAACUUAUCGUUCAAAUUAGCAACAGAAACACACAUCAGAGACCCUACAGCUAGGCGGUGUUUGGCUUUCUGUCGCUGUCUUCCUUCAUCGUUCUCAAGCUGGUGUGAUGAGCGGCAGACUGCGACACGCGACUCCCCACACAACUGGAACCAUUCAUCAACCACCCGUAAAGGACGAGGAGCACCUGAGUGGCGUGCUCGGUUCAGCUACUCGUACCCAGGGAAGCUAACCAUGACGCCAGUCGAUAAUGUAAAGAAAUAUGAAAUUAUUUCAUUAUAACCAAUUUUAUUACUUGGCAAUAUCUGUGCCCUCAUCACUGUCGUACCUUUUACUGAUGUAGUCAUGCUUUGUUAAUAUUAACAGCACAUUUAAAAAUGUAUAGACACACACUAGAGGUAGUAUGACGUCAAUUUUGUCUUUUGUAAGGAGGAAACUAUUCAAAAGACUGUAGUACAAAAUGUGUCAAAACUUUGUAAGUGAUGACGUAAAGUACGCUUAGCAGUGAAAGGGUCAAUCAACAUCAUGACGACGACCACCACCAUCACCACUACCCACCACAAGAACUUCGCUAUUAUCAUUAUCAUCACUGAGUAAUCUGUCUUCCAUUCAUGUAAUUUAUUGCAUAUUUUCUUCUUAAUUUUGCUGAUAAUAGUGAAAUUAAUACUGUCCACUCCAUCGGCUCCUCACUAGGUACAACUCUAUCCCUGUAUAACUUUGCGGUAAAGGAUGAGAGGCUGCGGCCGGCAAGGAUUCCAACCACUUUCCAGCAACGGUCACGCUGUCUUGUUAAUGGACCGAGUGCCUGCCAAGGACGCAGUAGAACUAGACAGGAGCGUGCACGUGUGUAGAAUGUAGGAGCGCUGCGGCUUGAAUGGCGCGGGAACAGACACGUGGCCCACUCACCGGUUUUCCAUCCGCCUUUGUCGUGCUCUGUAUUUACGAGUACUUGUGUAUGUUGAUGUGUCUCUAGUUUGAUUUGUCUGUUCAUCUUUACUUAUUUAUUUAUUCAUUUGUUUUCUUUUAUUUAUUUAUUUGUUUAUUUAUCUAUUUGUCUUUUAGUUGCUGGUAUGGUUGGGUUGGUGAACUCCAGACUCGCAUUCUAAAACUUGACUUGUGAAUGAGUUUUCUUUCUUUCCUCCUCCUCCUCCUUCUCCUCCUCCUCCUCCUCUUCCUCCUCCUCUUCCUCCUCCUCCUCCUCCUCCUCCUCCUC